Molecule: unclassified non-coding RNA, 206 nt
Filed under: Hevea brasiliensis (rubber tree)
Lineage: Eukaryota; Viridiplantae; Streptophyta; Magnoliopsida; Malpighiales; Euphorbiaceae
Source: RNAcentral
AUAAAAUCAUGCUAAUGUGUUUGACUUCUUGACCAUAUAACGAAAAACAAGAAGAAAAGAAAGAUGUUCAUCAGCAGCUUCCAACCUAAGGAAGAUAAAAGGUGUAGGUGGCUCAUCUUUGUGUUUUCUACCAAAAUUGUUCAUGCUCUUCCUCUAAAAUUUCUGAAACAUGCCUUUCCUCAGAAAUCUCGGAAACUCAUUUUCGG